Molecule: ribosomal RNA, 274 nt
Filed under: uncultured bacterium
Lineage: Bacteria
Description: partial 16S ribosomal RNA
Rfam family: Bacterial small subunit ribosomal RNA
Source: RNAcentral
AUACGGAGGGUGCAAGCGUUACUCGGAAUCACUGGGCGUAAAGCGCGCGCAGGCGGCUAUUUAUGUUGGAUGUGAAAGCCUACGGCUCAACCGUAGAACUGCAUCCAAAACUAUUUAGCUAGAGUGUGGGAGAGGAAGAUGGAAUUAGUUGUGUAGGGGUAAAAUCCGUAGAGAUAACUAGGAAUACCAAAAGCGAAGGCAAUCUUCUGGAACACUACUGACGCUGAGGCGCGAAAGCGUGGGGAGCAAACAGGAUUAGAAACCCCAGUAGUCC